Cuculus canorus (common cuckoo) is the source of this 1496-nucleotide long non-coding RNA. RefSeq lists it as uncharacterized. The transcript has 3 exons. Lineage: Eukaryota; Metazoa; Chordata; Aves; Cuculiformes; Cuculidae. The record is from RefSeq and is a predicted model, not a curated record.
UUACCCUCAACGCGAAAGUUUCACCGCUCUGAGCGUGUGACAGACCCAGUGCCGCGUCCCGCAGCGCUGCCGGGGCGGGCGCCCACACCGGCGAGAGGCGCUACGGUCAGUGCGCACUGGGAGCUGCGGGAAAAUGGAGGUUCUCAAACUGAUCCUUGCUGCUUAGGAAGCUCAGUUCCCAAGGUUCCUCCCACUUGCCCUGGUGAAGAAAUACUAACUUUGGGAUCCUGCAGUGUAUAACAUUGCAGAGGACCCUUGAAGCUGAAUGGAGACCUGUUCCUGUGAUGCUCCAGUCAAGUUAAUAUCGUGAACCGUUUGAUUGAUGUUCUUGGGGCUGUACUCCAUGCUGUUUUAAACAGGAAGCUCUUCCAGUAUCGCUUCAGCUCACCAAACAAGGCCACUUCCUUAACAAUACAAUAACAGGAAUUUGAACAGAAAUUUCAAAAUUCAGUUCUCAAGGGCAUGAAGACAGUUGCUUUCAUUCUUGCAUUAUCUCCAGUAUGUAGGUAUAAAAAUUAUGCUUUUUGUUUAGGAAAAAAUACUUUCCUUAUAUUUUUUUUUUUUUCACAAGGAGUCUGGCUUUUUUACAAUUGUUAAAAUACUGUUCCAGUUUUGUGAGAGAUUUGUCAUUCUUUCUCUCCCUAGACCACAUUUACGCUGGCAAUAUUGCAAUAUGGUUCUGCAAGAACUUCUAACAGUUUUUCAUCUUUUAAUAUGCUUAUGUGUUUCACCAGUAAGAACAGUACUUAUAGAUAGGUACUGGUCAGGUGCAGGUUGCUCAAGAGACAAGCCUCAGUCACUGCCUGUGUUCAUUUGCUACUUCUAAUACAGAUACAAGAAGUAUUAUAGCUCAAUAAAACUGAAUGGUUUAUACUGCAGAAUUAAAUUAUUUGCCUUGGUGUUUACUGGUAAGAUUUGCUUUCAGGGAUAUCAGGCCAUGGAGAUCAGUGAAAAUGUCUAUAGCUCUGAAGAUUUAACCUCAGUCAAGGAGGACUGAGUUAGGAAAUGUUUAAAUAAAAAGAGCAUACACAGGUCUGUGGGAUUUGGUGGAAUUCAUCCAUACUUGCAGGGCUGCUCUCAAUUUUUUCUGGAAGGUCAUGGCAAUCAGAUGAGAUUCCUGGGGACUGUAAGAAAGCAAAUAUCACAUCUGUCUUCCAGAAGGGCAAGAAGGAGGAUCCAGGGAACUAGAAGCCUGUCAGCCUCAUCUCAGUCCCUGGGAGGGUAAUGGAGCAAAUCCUCAUGGAAGCUGUUUUCAAAUAUGUCAUGGACAGCAUGGAUGUAUGCAGGGGAAGUCAUGCCUGACCGAUCUGGCAGCAUUCUGUGAUGGCUUUGCCAAUGAGGGGAGAACAGUGCAUGUUGCUUAUUUUCACUUUAGCAAGGCUUUUGACAUUGUCUCCCAUCGUGUCCAAAAAGACAAACUAAUGAAGUACAGAUGAGAAAAAUGAACCGUGAGGUGGACCGAAAGCUGGCUGAACUGUUGAGCUCCAAGGAUAGGC